RNAcentral lists this ribosomal RNA (467 nucleotides) under uncultured bacterium. RNAcentral's name for it is "partial 16S ribosomal RNA". It matches the Rfam family "Bacterial small subunit ribosomal RNA", at positions 28 to 507 of the family's 1533-position model. The record is from RNAcentral.
GACGAACGCUGGCGGCGUGCUUAACACAUGCAAGUCGAACGGAAAGGCCCUGCUUUUGUGGGGUGCUCGAGUGGCGAACGGGUGAGUAACACGUGAGUAACCUGCCCUUGACUUUGGGAUAACUUCAGGAAACUGGGGCUAAUACCGGAUAGGAGCUCCUGCUGCAUGGUGGGGGUUGGAAAGUUUCGGCGGUUGGGGAUGGACUCGCGGCUUAUCAGCUUGUUGGUGGGGUAGUGGCUUACCAAGGCUUUGACGGGUAGCCGGCCUGAGAGGGUGACCGGCCACAUUGGGACUGGGAUCCGGCCCAGACUCCUACGGGAGGCAGCAGUGGGGAAUAUUGCACAAUGGGCGGAAGCCUGAUGCAGCAACGCCGCGUGCGGGAUGACGGCCUUCGGGUUGUAACCGCUUUCGCCUGUGACGAAGCGUGAGUGACGGUAAUGGGUAAAGAAGCACCGGCUAACUACGUG